Molecule: ribosomal RNA, 273 nt
Filed under: uncultured prokaryote
Description: partial 16S ribosomal RNA
Rfam family: Bacterial small subunit ribosomal RNA
Source: RNAcentral
GACGGAGGGUGCUAGCGUUGUUCGGAAUUACUGGGCGUAAAGGGCGCGUAGGCGGCCAUGUAAGUCGGGUGUGAAAGCCCGGGGCUCAACCCCGGAACGGCACCCGAGACUGUAUGGCUGGAGACCGGAAGAGGUGAGUGGAAUACCCAGUGUAGAGGUGAAAUUCGUAGAUAUUGGGUGGAACACCGGUGGCGAAAGCGGCUCACUGGUCCGGUUCUGACGCUGAGGCGCGAAAGCGUGGGGAGCAAACAGGAUUAGAAACCCUGGUAGUCC